UACGUAGGGUGCUAGCGUUGUUCGGAAUCAUUGGGCGUAAAGCGCGUGUAGGUGGUUAGGUAAGUCGGAUGUGAAAUCCCUGGGCUCAACCGAGGAAGUGCAUUCGAAACUACCUAGCUAGAGGACGGUAGAGGAAGGUGGAAUUCCUAGUGUAGAGGUGAAAUUCGUAGAUAUUAGGAGGAAUACCGGUGGCGAAGGCGGCCUUCUGGGCCGUUCCUGACACUGAGACGCGAAAGCGUGGGUAGCAAACAGG
This 253-nucleotide ribosomal RNA is filed under the name uncultured bacterium. Its description in RNAcentral is "partial 16S ribosomal RNA". It matches the Rfam family "Bacterial small subunit ribosomal RNA", at positions 524 to 776 of the family's 1533-position model. The record is from RNAcentral.